UGAACGCUGGCGGUAUGCUUAACACAUGCAAGUCGUACGAAGGUUUUUAGCCUUAGUGGCGGACGGGUGAGUAACACGUGAGAAUCUGCCCUUAGGAAGAGAAUAACAAUUGGAAACGGUUGCUAAUACUCUAUAUGCCGUGAGGUGAAAGGAUGUAUCCACCUUAGGAAGAGCUCGCGUCUGAUUAGCUAGUUGGUAAGGUAAUGGCUUACCAAGGCGACGAUCAGUAGCUGGUUUGAGAGGACGACCAGCCACACUGGGACUGAGACACGGCCCAGACUCCUACGGGAGGCAGCAGUGGGGAAUUUUCCGCAAUGGGCGAAAGCCUGACGGAGCAAUACCGCGUGAGGGAUGACGGCCUGUGGGGUUGUAAAACCCUCUUUUUCUCAAGGAAGAAGUUCUGACGGUACUUGAGGAAUAAGCAUCGGCUAACUCUGUGCCAGUAG
RNAcentral lists this ribosomal RNA (446 nucleotides) under uncultured bacterium. RNAcentral describes it as "bacterial SSU rRNA". It matches the Rfam family "Bacterial small subunit ribosomal RNA", at positions 30 to 514 of the family's 1533-position model. The record is from RNAcentral.